UACGGGAGGCAGCAGUGGGGAAUAUUGCACAAUGGGGGGAACCCUGAUGCAGCCAUGCCGCGUGAAUGAAGAAGGCCUUCGGGUUGUAAAGUUCUUUCGGUGAUGAGGAAGGUGUUUUGUUUAAUAGACAAAGCAAUUGACGUUAGUCACAGAAGAAGCACCGGCUAACUCCGUGCCAGCAGCCGCGGUAAUACGGAGGGUGCGAGCGUUAAUCGGAAUAACUGGGCGUAAAGGGCACGCAGGCGGAUUGUUAAGUGAGAUGUGAAAGCCCCGGGCUUAACCUGGGAAUUGCAUUUCAGACUGGCAGUCUAGAGUAUUUUAGGGAGGGGUAGAAUUCCACGUGUAGCGGUGAAAUGCGUAGAGAUGUGGAGGAAUACCGAAGGCGAAGGCAGCCCCUUGGGAAUAUACUGACGCUCAUGUGCGAAAGCGUGGGGAGCAAACAGGAUUAGAUACCCUGGUAGUCC
Molecule: ribosomal RNA, 464 nt
Filed under: uncultured bacterium
Lineage: Bacteria
Description: bacterial SSU rRNA
Rfam family: Bacterial small subunit ribosomal RNA
Source: RNAcentral